CAGAAGGGGAAGAGGCUUUGAGUUAGCAUGGUAAACCAGGUAUGUAGGUUGACUGAGAGCAGAGCAAGAGCCUCUCUUAUGGGCACAAAAUCUUCUGCAAUUUUGGAAAGGUUCUUGCUUCAGUAGUGUACUUUGUAUGGGUGAAUAUUUUCUUAGUGAAUAUUUUUGAUAUAGAAGCAUUCAGUGUUAUAUAAAAAUGAAAAAUGUUUUCUGAUUUAUGGGUAAAAGCCAUUAAUAUUUAAAUCUUUCUUUCUGGUGGUGAAAAAAAUUCAUUUUAUAACACUAGUUUCUAUUUGUUUGAGACAGGAGCUUAGCCACUAUAGUUCCUUUGAUGGAUCCUAUUUCAAAUUUUAAAAUGUGCUCAAAGCUGAGUAAUGAGAGAACAAUUUCAACAGAGUUAUAUAUACCCGUCUAUCCAGGGCACCCAACAGUAGGUAUUCAGAGGGCCUCAUGAGAAGCUCUACCAGAGAUGGGAUCAGGAUGGCCAGGAUGCCCCAAAGAAGCCUGAAUCAGCACUGACAGUUCAACCAGAAGCAAGUUUAAUUUAGAAUAACCCCAAUAUGAGAGAAGACCAGACUGUAGGUAAAGGAAAUUAAAGACAAGAACUUAUACCAACAACAGACAGUGCAGGACUCCUUUGGCUAUGGUUACCAUCCAUUCAUUUUUACUGUUUACAUUUUCUUAAGCAGCAAAUUAAAAAGCCACAUUAAUUCUUCAAGUAUAUAUAACACAGAGAGUCUUCAAAUAUAUAUAACACAGGUUCCAAAAACUUCUGAUGUAGGAGCAUUAGUAUUUAUAGAUGUGCAAAAGCUGGUAUGUGGGGUUGUCUCUUACUCCUACAAUUUGGAAUUGGCUUCCAAGACAUAGAAUUAAGCUGUUGUUUUUUUCCCUCUGGAGAAAAAUAAUGCUUCUUUCAAAUCUGAUGAACAUACAUGGGUACCUAGCCACUCAUCCCUCCUCUGCAGCUGCUGCCUACCCUAUAGUGUCAAGAUGUCAUGUGUCACAGAGGCAGAUGAGGGGAUAAAAUGCCUGCCUAAGGAUACCUACCUUGCCUUUGUUGAAGUAGUGGAUGAUCUUCCGGCACAGUCCCUCUUUUCGUUGCCAUUCUGUUUGAGAUGGGUAGUGCAGGAACUCCCGUAGUGGCCGGUCCUCCCAUUGCAGCAGCUCACAGUAAAGGAGUAGGGUGAAUGCAGCCUCUGUGGAAACAGGCAGCAUGGAGGCUCAGGGUUUCCUUUCGGGGUCUAGGAGAAGCCUGGUGCCAGAGGUCCAUGCUGAGCAGAAUACCAGGGCAAGGCACAUGCAGCCCAGGUCAGGGACACUGGAUACCAAUGUGAGACAGUAGGGCUGCCCAGCAUGAAGGAGCCAGAGAUCCUGGUAGAUAACUUCCUCCCAAGGCCUGGUCACCUGUUCUGGGCUCCAGAUAAAAAAAUAAAGAAUGGCUCAGCUACCUGAGAGUCUAUGCACAGGUUAUCCUGCUUCAGGUGACACUGAUAUAUCAGAGAGCUCUUGAGUUCCUGUUUGGUCAACUCAAUACAGCUUUCUUUCCAAUCCUCUCAGAACUAUUGGAUAAACACCAACUAAGGCUUCCUUCACUUUUCCCUAAGCCACCUUCAAUGUCUCUAGCUCCAUUUUCUACCCUCAGCAUAGUCUUGUGACUGACUCCUUUUCUCUCAUCAUUAACAUUUCCAAAAGGGCCAAAGAGUAGGAGUGCGAAUGAUAUUAAUUGUGAGAUGGGCCUGGAGCCAGAGGUUCCAUUCCUGGAGGAACCUAAGUUAACAAUGAACCCAGAGUGGAGGUCUGGCAACAACUGAUUCUGUAUGUGAAACAAUUAGGGAGAGUUACAUUUUUAAAAAGAAACAGCAGCUAAGUAGUAUGGUUGCCUAAGUUUCGAGAGAUGAAUAACACUGAAUUAUAGCCACUGUUCAGGGUCCUCAUUAUAUCAUCUUUCUUUCCUAUUCUAUUUUCUCACGUUUAGUGGGUAAUUCUAAGCUGGUAAAUUAAUUAGUUCUAGCUUCUGCCUAGCUUAAAGGCCCUACUCGAUCCUGCUUCCCAUAAUUAUGAAGAAUCUUAUUUUUAAUAAACUUGUACCCACUUCCAGGUAGUGAAGCCCACUUGCCUGUGGCCACUUUCUAGGUUCCUCCUUAUCCUUGCCUAUUUGCCUGUGCCUGCUACCAUUGAAACCUCUUGUGAGGAAUGCACAUAGCUCCUCACAGGGUGGGGAAGCCUUUUCUCUGUGGGUACCAAGGAGCCUUUUAUCUCUGUGGCAUCAGGGCCUCCCUUUGUAGCUCAGGGAACUCUGUGAAAAUUUUUUCCCCAUCUAUAUUUUUUCUGAUGUCAUUCCAGGAGCCACUAAAGAAAAGGCUUAGUACCUUUUUAUCCAGAUCCCUGAGCCAGCCUCCUAGUCAUGGUCUAGUCCCUGAGGAGUUUAGCAAAUGCCUCUUUUGACUCAUGGAAAUUAUAAAAAUAUUUCUCUUCACUGCCCUUUUAGAAGGUUGCUGGGAUCAUGGAUGGAAGAGGAUGCAGAGUAUAGAAAACUUGGCUCAUAAUAGUAACAAAACCAGCAUGGUAUUGGCACCAAAACAGGCCGGUAGACCAAUGGUACAGAAUAGAGGACACAGAGACUAACCCUCAAAAUUACAAUUAUCUUAUAUUAGACAAAGAUGCCAAAAACAUGCAUUGGAGAAAAGAUAGCCUCUUCAGAAAAAAAUGGUGCUGGAAAAACUGGAAAUCCAUAUGCAACAAAAUGAAAUUAAACCCCUAUCUCUCACCAUGCUCAAAACUCAACUCAAAGUGGAUCAAGGACUUAGGAAUUAAACCAGAGACUCUGCAUCUAAUAGAAGAAAAAGUAGGCCCUAAUCUUCAUUAUGUGGGAUUAGGCCCCAACUUUCUUAAUAAGACUCCUAUAGCGCAAGAAUUAAAACUAAGAAUCAAUAAAUGGGAUGGAAUCAAACUAAAAAGUUUCUUCCCAGCAAAAGAAAUAAUCUGUGAGGUGAACAGAGAGCCUACAUCCUAGGAGCAAUUUUUUACCCCUCACACAUCAGAUAGAGCACUAAUCUCUAGAGUAUAUAAAGAACUUGUCAUGAGCAACUAAUAAAAAAAAUUUAGUGUCAGUAUCUACAGUCUUAAUUCUUGUAAAUGUUUUCUAAAUAUUCUACAUAUAGGAGUAUCAUGCCAUGGUUUUAGAUAAAAAUAGAUACAUUUGAGUGCUUCUUAAAUUACUUUUUAACGAUUAUUUCUUCUGAAAGUGGAAAGGCUAUUACUUAUUGUUUAUUUCUUUCUUAAAAAAACAGAGAAUAAAUGAUAUUAUUCUUAAAAAAAAAAAAAAAAGCUAAGCACUGAAAAAAACAACACAAUCAACAAAUGGGCCAAGGACCUGAAUAGGCACUUCUCAGAAGAGGAUAUACAAUCAAUCAACAAAUAUAUGAAAACAUGCUCAUCAUCUCUAGCAAUCAGAGAAAUGCAAAUCAAAACUACUCUAAGAUUUCAUCUCACUCCAGUCAGAAUGGCAGCUAUUAUGAAGACAAACAACAAUAAGUGUUGGCGAGGAUGUGGGGAAAAAGGUAUAUUCAUACAUUGCUGGUGGGACUGCAAAUUCGGGCAGCCAAUGUGGAAAGCAGUAUGGAGAUUCCUUGGAAAGCUGAAUGAAAUCACCAUUUGACCCAGCUAUCCCUCUCCUUGGAUUAUACCCAAAGGACUUAAAAACAGAAUACUACAGGAACACAGCCACAUCAAUGUUUAUAGCAUCACAAUUCACAAUAGCUAAACUGUGGAGCCAACCUAGAUGCCCUUCAGUGGAUGAAUGGAUUAAAAAAUGUGGCAUAUAUAGGACACGGCUUUUGCUGUAAUGAAUUAAUCCCCUGAACCCCGAGUUCAGGUAGUUUCAGAGUUUUAUACCAAGCAUGUAAGGGGAGGGGCUCAGAAAUUCAUGGUCUGCAGAAGUUCACAUAAAAGCAGCUUUUUCUCUCACUGUUCUGGGCAUGUUAACCCUUCGAGGACAACACCUGAGAAGGGGAGAGCUUCUUCUCCCCUGUCUAGUCUCCCCCUGCCAGCUGUUACCAUGGAGUCCAGUUGGUAACUUCUUGUAUCUUAAACAUGUAGACAUCUCUGUGAAGCCCAGCUCAAGGCCAGGGGCCUUGUUUGCACAUUUCUUCAAAGUACUAUUCUGGAUAUGUUUGGAAUUUUACUCAGCAAUAAAAAAGAAUAAAAUCUUGGCAUUUGCAGGUAAAUGGAUGGCGUUGGAGAAGAUAAUGCUAAGUGAAGUUAGACAAUCCCAAAAGAACAAAUGCUGAAUGUUUUCUCUGAUAUAAGGAGGCUGACUUAUAGUGGGGUAGGGAGGGGGAGCAUGGGAGGAAUAGAUGAAUUCUAGAUUGGGC
RNAcentral lists this long non-coding RNA (4373 nucleotides) under Marmota monax (woodchuck). Lineage: Eukaryota; Metazoa; Chordata; Mammalia; Rodentia; Sciuridae. The record is from RNAcentral.